Molecule: ribosomal RNA, 489 nt
Filed under: uncultured bacterium
Lineage: Bacteria
Description: bacterial SSU rRNA
Rfam family: Bacterial small subunit ribosomal RNA
Source: RNAcentral
GAUGAACGCUAGCGGCAGGCCUAAUACAUGCAAGUCGAGGGGCAGCAUAGUAGCAAUACUGAUGGCGACCGGCGCACGGGUGCGUAACGCGUAUGCAACCUACCCAUUACUGAGGGAUAGCCCGGAGAAAUUCGGAUUAAUACCUCAUGGUAUCAAGGACAGGCAUUUGUUUUUGAUUAAAGAUUUAUCGGUAAUGGAUGGGCAUGCGUCAGAUUAGCUAGUUGGCGGGGUAACGGCCCACCAAGGCGAUGAUCUGUAGGGGGUCUGAGAGGAUGAUCCCCCCACACUGGUACUGAGAUACGGACCAGACUCCUACGGGAGGCAGCAGUAGGGAAUAUUGGUCAAUGGGCGAGAGCCUGAACCAGCCAUGCCGCGUGCAGGAAGAAGGCCCUCUGGGUUGUAAACUGCUUUUGACCAGGGCCAAAAUACUCAUGCGUGAGGAAUUGAGAGUACUGGUAGAAUAAGCACCGGCUAACUCCGUGCCAGCAG